CCUACGGGAGGCAGCAGUAGGGAAUCUUCCACAAUGGACGAAAGUCUGAUGGAGCAACGCCGCGUGAGUGAAGAAGGGUUUCGGCUCGUAAAGCUCUGUUGGUAGUGAAGAAAGAUAGAGGUAGUAACUGGCCUUUAUUUGACGGUAAUUACUUAGAAAGUCACGGCUAACUACGUGCCAGCAGCCGCGGUAACACGUAGGUGGCAAGCGUUGUCCGGAUUUAUUGGGCGUAAAGCGAGUGCAGGCGGUGCAAUAAGUCUGAUGUGAAAGCCUUCGGCUCAACCGGAGAAUUGCAUCAGAAACUGUUGAACUGGAGUGCAGAAGAGGAGAGUGGAACUCCAUGUGUAGCGGUGGAAUGCGUAGAUAUAUGGAAGAACACCAGUGGCGAAGGCGGCUCUCUGGUCUGCAACUGACGCUGAGGCUCGAAAGCAUGGGUAGCGAACAGGAUUAGAUACCCCUGUAGUC
This 465-nucleotide ribosomal RNA is filed under the name uncultured bacterium. RNAcentral's name for it is "partial 16S ribosomal RNA". It matches the Rfam family "Bacterial small subunit ribosomal RNA", at positions 338 to 795 of the family's 1533-position model. The record is from RNAcentral.